This 328-nucleotide ribosomal RNA is filed under the name uncultured eukaryote. RNAcentral's name for it is "partial 18S ribosomal RNA". It matches the Rfam family "Eukaryotic small subunit ribosomal RNA", at positions 1470 to 1796 of the family's 1831-position model. The record is from RNAcentral.
CCCUUAGAUGUUCUGGGCCGCACGCGCGCUACACUGAUGCAUUCAACGAGUCUAAAACCUGGUCUGAUAGGGCUGGGUAAUCUUUUGAAAGUGCAUCGUGAUUGGGAUAGAUGAUUGCAAUUCUUCAUCUUCAACGAGGAAUGCCUAGUAAACGCAAGUCAUCAGCUUGCAUUGAUUACGUCCCUGCCCUUUGUACACACCGCCCGUCGCUACUACUGAUUGGAUGUUUAAGCGAGGUUCUCGAACUGCUAGCGACUUAGCUUCGGUGAGGUCGCAGUGUGGGAAGUGAACCUAGCUUUGGUGUCUAGAGGAAGUAAAAGUCGUAACA